GUGCUUACUUUGGCAGCACGUAUACUAAAAUUGGAAAGAUACAGAGAAGAUUAGCAUGGCCCUGGUGCAAGGAUAACCUGCAAAUUCAUGAAAAAUCUCCCAACCUA
Hyaena hyaena (striped hyena) is the source of this 107-nucleotide small nuclear RNA. NCBI's taxonomy places the organism in Eukaryota, Metazoa, Chordata, Mammalia, Carnivora, Hyaenidae. The record is from RefSeq and is a predicted model, not a curated record.